CUAGCUGAAGUUUGAGUCCACUGUUC
RNAcentral lists this non-coding RNA (26 nucleotides) under Homo sapiens (human). The record is from RNAcentral. Lineage: Eukaryota; Metazoa; Chordata; Mammalia; Primates; Hominidae.